AGUCAUUCUCCUAAUGGAAGACUAGUGAUUUUGUUGUUUGUAAAAAGAUUGGCCAAACAAGAAAUCGCUAUCUUCCGAAGGUGGAUGAUC
RNAcentral lists this microRNA precursor (90 nucleotides) under Tetranychus urticae (two-spotted spider mite). RNAcentral's name for it is "mir-7 microRNA precursor". It matches the Rfam family "mir-7 microRNA precursor family". From Rfam's summary of the family: This family represents the microRNA (miRNA) precursor mir-7. In this case the mature sequence comes from the 5' arm of the precursor. The record is from Rfam by way of RNAcentral. Lineage: Eukaryota; Metazoa; Arthropoda; Arachnida; Trombidiformes; Tetranychidae.